Molecule: ribosomal RNA, 2200 nt
Filed under: Escherichia coli
Lineage: Bacteria; Pseudomonadati; Pseudomonadota; Gammaproteobacteria; Enterobacterales; Enterobacteriaceae
Description: bacterial LSU rRNA
Rfam family: Bacterial large subunit ribosomal RNA
Source: RNAcentral
UUAAGCGACUAAGCGUACACGGUGGAUGCCCUGGCAGUCAGAGGCGAUGAAGGACGUGCUAAUCUGCGAUAAGCGUCGGUAAGGUGAUAUGAACCGUUAUAACCGGCGAUUUCCGAAUGGGGAAACCCAGUGUGUUUCGACACACUAUCAUUAACUGAAUCCAUAGGUUAAUGAGGCGAACCGGGGGAACUGAAACAUCUAAGUACCCCGAGGAAAAGAAAUCAACCGAGAUUCCCCCAGUAGCGGCGAGCGAACGGGGAGCAGCCCAGAGCCUGAAUCAGUGUGUGUGUUAGUGGAAGCGUCUGGAAAGGCGCGCGAUACAGGGUGACAGCCCCGUACACAAAAAUGCACAUGCUGUGAGCUCGAUGAGUAGGGCGGGACACGUGGUAUCCUGUCUGAAUAUGGGGGGACCAUCCUCCAAGGCUAAAUACUCCUGACUGACCGAUAGUGAACCAGUACCGUGAGGGAAAGGCGAAAAGAACCCCGGCGAGGGGAGUGAAAAAGAACCUGAAACCGUGUACGUACAAGCAGUGGGAGCACGCUUAGGCGUGUGACUGCGUACCUUUUGUAUAAUGGGUCAGCGACUUAUAUUCUGUAGCAAGGUUAACCGAAUAGGGGAGCCGAAGGGAAACCGAGUCUUAACUGGGCGUUAAGUUGCAGGGUAUAGACCCGAAACCCGGUGAUCUAGCCAUGGGCAGGUUGAAGGUUGGGUAACACUAACUGGAGGACCGAACCGACUAAUGUUGAAAAAUUAGCGGAUGACUUGUGGCUGGGGGUGAAAGGCCAAUCAAACCGGGAGAUAGCUGGUUCUCCCCGAAAGCUAUUUAGGUAGCGCCUCGUGAAUUCAUCUCCGGGGGUAGAGCACUGUUUCGGCAAGGGGGUCAUCCCGACUUACCAACCCGAUGCAAACUGCGAAUACCGGAGAAUGUUAUCACGGGAGACACACGGCGGGUGCUAACGUCCGUCGUGAAGAGGGAAACAACCCAGACCGCCAGCUAAGGUCCCAAAGUCAUGGUUAAGUGGGAAACGAUGUGGGAAGGCCCAGACAGCCAGGAUGUUGGCUUAGAAGCAGCCAUCAUUUAAAGAAAGCGUAAUAGCUCACUGGUCGAGUCGGCCUGCGCGGAAGAUGUAACGGGGCUAAACCAUGCACCGAAGCUGCGGCAGCGACGCUGAUGCGUUGUUGGGUAGGGGAGCGUUCUGUAAGCCUGCGAAGGUGUGCUGUGAGGCAUGCUGGAGGUAUCAGAAGUGCGAAUGCUGACAUAAGUAACGAUAAAGCGGGUGAAAAGCCCGCUCGCCGGAAGACCAAGGGUUCCUGUCCAACGUUAAUCGGGGCAGGGUGAGUCGACCCCUAAGGCGAGGCCGAAAGGCGUAGUCGAUGGGAAACAGGUUAAUAUUCCUGUACUUGGUGUUACUGCGAAGGGGGGACGGAGAAGGCUAUGUUGGCCGGGCGACGGUUGUCCCGGUUUAAGCGUGUAGGCUGGUUUUCCAGGCAAAUCCGGAAAAUCAAGGCUGAGGCGUGAUGACGAGGCACUACGGUGCUGAAGCAACAAAUGCCCUGCUUCCAGGAAAAGCCUCUAAGCAUCAGGUAACAUCAAAUCGUACCCCAAACCGACACAGGUGGUCAGGUAGAGAAUACCAAGGCGCUUGAGAGAACUCGGGUGAAGGAACUAGGCAAAAUGGUGCCGUAACUUCGGGAGAAGGCACGCUGAUAUGUAGGUGAGGUCCCUCGCGGAUGGAGCUGAAAUCAGUCGAAGAUACCAGCUGGCUGCAACUGUUUAUUAAAAACACAGCACUGUGCAAACACGAAAGUGGACGUAUACGGUGUGACGCCUGCCCGGUGCCGGAAGGUUAAUUGAUGGGGUUAGCGCAAGCGAAGCUCUUGAUCGAAGCCCCGGUAAACGGCGGCCGUAACUAUAACGGUCCUAAGGUAGCGAAAUUCCUUGUCGGGUAAGUUCCGACCUGCACGAAUGGCGUAAUGAUGGCCAGGCUGUCUCCACCCGAGACUCAGUGAAAUUGAACUCGCUGUGAAGAUGCAGUGUACCCGCGGCAAGACGGAAAGACCCCGUGAACCUUUACUAUAGCUUGACACUGAACAUUGAGCCUUGAUGUGUAGGAUAGGUGGGAGGCUUAGAAGUGUGGACGCCAGUCUGCAUGGAGCCGACCUUGAAAUACCACCCUUUAAUGUUUGAUGUUCUAACGU